This 253-nucleotide ribosomal RNA is filed under the name uncultured bacterium. Its description in RNAcentral is "partial 16S ribosomal RNA". It matches the Rfam family "Bacterial small subunit ribosomal RNA", at positions 524 to 776 of the family's 1533-position model. The record is from RNAcentral.
UACAGAGGUCUCAAGCGUUGUUCGGAUUCAUUGGGCGUAAAGGGUGCGUAGGUGGCGCCGUAAGUCAGGUGUGAAAUUUCGGAGCUUAACUCCGAAACUGCAUUUGAUACUGCGGUGCUUGAGGACUGGAGAGGAGACUGGAAUUCACGGUGUAGCAGUGAAAUGCGUAGAUAUCGUGAGGAAGACCAGUGGCGAAGGCGGGUCUCUGGGCAGUUCCUGACACUGAGGCACGAAGGCUAGGGGAGCAAGCGGG